GUAGUCAUUUUAGUGUAUAUUUUCAUCCGCACUCGGCAAACAAAACACUCAUCUACGAGUAUACGAGCCGCCACUGGGAAAACAAGCUGCACUUCACCGACUAUAAAAUUACACGAGCAGUGCCAAUUAAUAUUCAGUUGUCAAGUAUCUAACUUAAACUAUAUACUUAAAGAUAAUGAAGAACAUAAAUAACAUAUAUACAGUGAUUGUAACUUGUUUGAUUUUGGUUCAAGUGCAUAGUCAACAAAUUUCAAGUGGAGAAUGUAAAAACUACGAUGUGAAAAUUGUGCAGGAUUUUGAUGCAUCAAGAUAUCUUGGAAUUUGGUAUGAACAAGCACGAUACGAAGCCAUUUUCCAAUUUAAUAUGGAUUGUGUCCGAGCAAAUUAUUCUUUGAUCGAUGAGAAUAGAAUUAGAGUUGUUAACAGUGGAAUUGUACUAAUUGCUAACGCUGAUAGCAGCAUAGAAGGUGUAGCACGUUUUGUUGAUUCUUCUAAAAUGAAGGUAAACUCCUGGUUAGAUUUCCAUUAAGUCCUGAAGGCAAUUACUGGGUGAUUGGGACUGAUUAUGAUAAUUAUGCUAUUGUCUGGAGCUGUACUGAUAUUUUACCUGGCAUACUCUCUACAAAUAUGCAAUUCUUGUGGAUUCUUGCACGUUCACCUCACUUAUCCGAUGACAAAAUGACGGAAGUUAAAGAUAUUCUGCAGAAUGCCAAAUUAGAUAGAAGUUCAUUACGUAAAACUAUACAGGAUCAAUGCCCAUGGAGUAAUAAAGUGUGAAAAACAAUGUUUUAAACAUUGUUUAAUACUCGUUUUACGCAACAUAUUAGUUAUUCAUAUUCUAAUUAAGUAAAUAUGCAUUGUAUACGCGUGCAACCUUCACAAGGUCAAUGAUAAAUAUAGUUUCACUAUCAUGUAAUAAUAAUAACCGUUUGUUUUCUAUUUUAAUUCUGCAUCAUUGUUAGGAUUGGUCAUGCAUUUAUUUAUAACUUAUUAUAUUUUAACUUUUAAGUUAGACAACCUAACUUACGUUUAGUGUACUUUCUUGAUUUCUUUUUAACUACAUGGUAAGACACUUUAACGUGACAAUUUAAUAGUUACAUUUGCACGUUGUAAUGAUUCCGUUAAUUAAGCAAUUAAGUCGAAUUGCGUUUUCUAAUGAUGUUAUUAACAAAGAAGUAAUUUCGUCGAAAGUACCAAAGCGUGCCAAAAUGCAAAUACCGAAAAACGUCCGAAUGAUGUCGGAUUAGAAGACUUGAAGAUGGGUAAUUGCAGAACAACAAUUAAAAGUUUAACGAUAAUUAUUAAAUGUAUAAGUUUUACAAAAGUUUAAUAAUAAUAUUUUCAAAUGUGAAUACUUAAUAUUUUUAGACUAAAAUAAAAAUUUUAAAUUAU
Molecule: long non-coding RNA, 1392 nt
Organism: Dalotia coriaria
Lineage: Eukaryota; Metazoa; Arthropoda; Insecta; Coleoptera; Staphylinidae
Exons: 3
Source: RefSeq, a predicted model, not a curated record